Molecule: ribosomal RNA, 468 nt
Filed under: uncultured bacterium
Lineage: Bacteria
Description: partial 16S ribosomal RNA
Rfam family: Bacterial small subunit ribosomal RNA
Source: RNAcentral
GACGAACGCUGGCGGCGUGCUUAACACAUGCAAGUCGAACGGAAAGGCCCUGCUUUUGUGGGGUGCUCGAGUGGCGAACGGGUGAGUAACACGUGAGUAACCUGCCCUUGACUUUGGGUUAACUUCAGGAAACUGGGGCUAAUACCGGAUAGGAGCUCCUGCUGCAUGGUGGGGGUUGGAAAGUUUCGGCGGUUGGGGAUGGACUCGCGGCUUAUCAGCUUGUUGGUGGGGUAGUGGCUUACCAAGGCUUUGACGGGUAGCCGGCCUGAGAGGGUGACCGGCCACAUUGGGACUGAGAUACGGCCCAGACUCCUACGGGAGGCAGCAGUGGGGAAUAUUGCACAAUGGGCGGAAGCCUGAUGCAGCAACGCCGCGUGCGGGAUGACGGCCUUCGGGUUGUAAACCGCAUUCGCCUGUGACGAAGCGUGAGUGACGGUAAUGGGUAAAGAAGCACCGGCUAACUACGUG